UCCCUCUUAGCUCAGUGGUAGAGCGCGUCACUAGUAACUGUUGAGUUAUGACGAGGUCAGUCGUUCAAGUCGGCUAGAGGGAA
This is a transfer RNA of Cylindrobasidium torrendii FP15055 ss-10, 83 nucleotides long. It matches the Rfam family "tRNA". Rfam says of the family: Transfer RNA (tRNA) molecules are approximately 80 nucleotides in length. Their secondary structure includes four short double-helical elements and three loops (D, anti-codon, and T loops). NCBI's taxonomy places the organism in Eukaryota, Fungi, Basidiomycota, Agaricomycetes, Agaricales, Physalacriaceae. The record is from Rfam.